UCAACCACUAGCAGCACUUUCUGUCAAGCUAUCGCGACAAAAAUUACUAUAUACCCUGCAGGAAUAUUUUCUCUAACCAGCUGCCGAUUUUUGAACAUCGACGGGUGCGUGAAUACUCUCCCGUCACCGGACUGGCUUGCUGCCCUAUUAGAACACCAAACACAGUCAAGUUCUUUUGACGACAGAGCAAGAGCACUAUCCCUCUCGGGCAGUUGCAAGAUCAAUUACAUCAAACUAUCUUGCACUCAUCCUACAUGCGGAUCUAAUGGACGUCUACAAGGUUACCGAAGCUCAACUCAAUGCAACGGCGUCGCAAACUGCAUCAGAGACAACGCAUCGCGAAAGCUUUUUUCUGAUGCCAAUCUAUGUCACUCUUUGGCAACUCUAAAGAAGUCGAGCACCUGCUCUGGAAAAAAUGAAUCGUGCACGUCGGGAGUUUCUAAUACUAAAAUGUCAUACUCAUCGGUUUCUCCUAAAGUCGUUCAAUCAUCCACGCCAGCGAUUGCAACAGAAGAUCAACGAAGAAAGCCUGGAUCAUCCAGGUCGGGAGCUUCUAUCACUACCUACUACGUUGGAAUCUGUAUAGCAUGGUCUGUGUUGGUACUCGUUGAAAACUGGUCGUCGUCGCACUGAGUAAGACAGACAGACUCAACGUGUGGCUACGGCUGGCAAUCAAGCUCACUCGCUGCUUAGAAUGUAAACAUACUACAUGUAGACUUAAUUAUUGCGUAAUCUUUUGCUGUAUUCUACUUCUGCCAGUUUCUCUGACACAUGUCCGUUGCGUUGCGUGUAUUGCAAAUUAAUUGUUAGUAUUAUUGUUCAAA
Corticium candelabrum is the source of this 824-nucleotide long non-coding RNA. RefSeq lists it as uncharacterized. The record is from RefSeq and is a predicted model, not a curated record. The transcript is spliced from 3 exons. NCBI's taxonomy places the organism in Eukaryota, Metazoa, Porifera, Homoscleromorpha, Homosclerophorida, Plakinidae.